UACUGCAACCUCAAACAGCUGUCACUCUAUCGUACUUUCUUUUGUGAAAGGUCUACGAUUCAUUCUUACAGGUGCGGAGGAAAACAGAAGCUUGAGUUUGGGAUCAUUAAAUUUGGAAACGUGAGUGGUAUCGCGGGAACAAGGUCGAGGCUAGUUAGUAAGGACAGAGGAUUGGGGGGGGGCGGUAAAAGAAAGUCCUCCACCUUUUACCGUUUAUGAGAAAUCCCUACAGACACUGACUACUCGGCGUGUCUUUGUAAAGCAGAACCGCUGUGAAAAUUGCCUGUUCUGCCCAGAGCUCUCUCCCGACAGCAUUUCCCAGCGCCCCAGCAAAACUCUGCCAAUCAGUGUGUACACGGUCCUGCCAGCCCCACAGAAGCAAGCGAUGGGCAGGGUUUCCCACAGCAACACCUAAAAAGGGCUGGGUCGGCACAAAAGCUGAACUCAGAUUUGAAUUUUAAGUGAAUUUUCCCACCAAGCCGGCGUACUUAAGGAAGAGAAAUCACGCCCUGAAAACACCAGCGAAGCUCGCCAGAGCUGCUUUCUGCGAACCAAGCGGGCUGAACAAACUGCACGGGAGGAGGAAUUCGACAGGAAAGGAUGCAAAGGUGGCCAACAGGACCAUCGUGAAGAUCAAGUCAGAUUCCAUAGACGAGAGUGCUCCGUGAGUUACGAGAUGAAAUGCAAAUGUUACUGAAAGGCUUAAUAAUAAUUAAAACAGACCCUCAAGCUCUAUCCAAGAUAUGGCUGGUGACACAACCAAGUAGCUGUAUAUCCGGAGAUACACAGUAAUUUACGGAGGGCCCUUCCACUGACAAGAUCCUCUAAAGAGCCUGACACAUCGGUGGAUCCCCCUGCAUCUCUUGCAAAGGUAUCAAAUCUGUGCAUACGUACACCUUUCUGUAAAGACAUCUGGACUUGCACUAAAAGCUUCCAGAAGAACUGUGUGUUCAGAAGUUAUAUUGCUUCAGGAUGAAAGCUCUUGUCCAUUUUUUCUCAUAAGUCUAAGAACAGUUAACUUCUAGUUCAUUGUCUUUACACUUAGGAAAACAGCAUUUCAUUUAAACUAUUCUCCUAAAACGUGAGUAUUAUCAAGAGGCAAUACCUUAGUUAAUGAGUCUCGUCUUGUUGGACACUUACCUUAAAAAAUACAAAGAGUUGCUCACAAAAAUUUUAAAAAACUGUUGAUUGGGUGCAGGAUAAAAGACCAAACUGAAGACCCUAAUGUAGCAGAAAACAUUGUGGCUAAAAAAAGGGCCAGGCCUUGGUGAAUUUCUCAACAACUGUUCUCAAACAUCAAGUUUUCCCCUUGAUUGUUUAGUCGUAUUUCUGCUUGUCUGUGUAAUUUCUAGCUUGUGCUCUGGACAUAAAAGCCAUGAACUAAUUUACUUAACUGGAAUACUAACAUCCCUAACCCUCAAAGUAACUACCGUGAGUUGAAAAAAUUUCUGUGAAAUAGCGAAUCACAUUAUAUCCUCUAUCCAGAUAACAUUAUACUAACAUCUAACACUACAGAGUCACACGUGGCUUCAGGGUUUAGCUGCUGAACCCACAUCUAGCUUAAAAAUGUUAACCACAAUAAUUUAAUGCUCUUAUACCAUCUUCCUGAGAUUAUUUAACACCUCAGAACGAGUGGAGGGCCAAAACAAGAACUCUCUUCCUCAGCAGGUGACUUCAUUGGUUGCAGCGUAAGAAUGCCCU
Non-coding RNA from Vicugna pacos (alpaca), 1701 nucleotides. Lineage: Eukaryota; Metazoa; Chordata; Mammalia; Artiodactyla; Camelidae. The record is from RefSeq and is a predicted model, not a curated record.